GGAACAUUCAAGCUUUGAACUAAUAACAAUCUCCAAAAGUAAAACUCUGGAUUCCUGGAAGAAACCACUUCUAUAUAUAGGCUGGGAUUGCCAGCCAACAUGACAAAACUGAUUUUCCAUGCUGAAGCUCAUACGUCAGGCAGUUGUAGAGGGCGCUUUUUAGAGUUAUUCUUAGGGCGAACCUUCACAAAGGCCUUGUCCAAAUCCUGACCCUGACCAACACCAUGGUCCUGGUUCGAUGCAUAUGUGCUCCAAAGCUUCUCUAAGUUGUAGUACGCUCUCACUUUCUCAUCAAGGGCAUGAAUUACUACUUUGCCAGAGUCUAUUACAAUCCAGUUGCCCGCUUCUUGCCCUUCCACGCUAGGUAACAACAUUCUCUUUGAUCCUUUUUGCUUCUGCUUAACCUUGUAAAUUAGGGCUUGAGAAAUAUUACGGACGUGCCAAGCGGAUCGACCAGUAGCAACGACCAUGAAAUCUGCAAAAUCACAGUGCUUAGGAAUGGGAAAAACUUUGACAUUAUCAGCUUUGACAUCUCUGAGGAUUGCCUCCACUUCCUCCAGUUUCAGUAACUCUCCGCUGCGUAUUCCAUCAUCGGCACCGUCGUUGGUGGCGGAGGAAGAAACAGAUAGAGAGCGAUUGAGAAUUGAUAACCCUAGCUUCCAUUGUUGAGUUGCAGGGGAAGAAGCGAAGCUUCGAGAUUUUAGAACCGACCACAUCGGAAUUUCUG
RNAcentral lists this unclassified non-coding RNA (727 nucleotides) under Hevea brasiliensis (rubber tree). The record is from RNAcentral. Lineage: Eukaryota; Viridiplantae; Streptophyta; Magnoliopsida; Malpighiales; Euphorbiaceae.